RNAcentral lists this ribosomal RNA (710 nucleotides) under Roseovarius sp. Its description in RNAcentral is "bacterial SSU rRNA". It matches the Rfam family "Bacterial small subunit ribosomal RNA", at positions 34 to 794 of the family's 1533-position model. Lineage: Bacteria; Pseudomonadati; Pseudomonadota; Alphaproteobacteria; Rhodobacterales; Roseobacteraceae. The record is from RNAcentral.
CGCAGUGGCGCAGCUACACAUGCAGUCGAGCGAGAACUUCGGUUCUAGCGGCGGACGGGUUAGUAACGCGUGGGAACGUGCCCUUCACUACGGAAUAGUCCCGGGAAACUGGGUUUAAUACCGUAUACGCCCUUCGGGGGAAAGAAUUUCGGUGAAGGAUCGGCCCGCGUUAGAUUAGAUAGUUGGUGGGGUAACGGCCUACCAAGUCUACGAUCUAUAGCUGGUUUUAGAGGAUGAUCAGCAACACUGGGACUGAGACACGGCCCAGACUCCUACGGGAGGCAGCAGUGGGGAAUCUUAGACAAUGGGCGCAAGCCUGAUCUAGCCAUGCCGCGUGAGUGAUGAAGGCCUUAGGGUCGUAAAGCUCUUUCGCCAGGGAUGAUAAUGACAGUACCUGGUAAAGAAACCCCGGCUAACUCCGUGCCAGCAGCCGCGGUAAUACGGAGGGGGUUAGCGUUGUUCGGAAUUACUGGGCGUAAAGCGCGCGUAGGCGGAUUGGAAAGUUGGGGGUGAAAUCCCAGGGCUCAACCCUGGAACUGCCUCCAAAACUAUCAGUCUAGAGUUCGAGAGAGGUGAGUGGAACUCCGAGUGUAGAGGUGAAAUUCGUAGAUAUUCGGAAGAACACCAGUGGCGAAGGCGGCUCACUGGCUCGAUACUGACGCUGAGGUGCGAAAGUGUGGGGAGCAAACAGGAUUAGAUACCCUGGUAGU